Molecule: ribosomal RNA, 776 nt
Filed under: Rhodoferax sp.
Lineage: Bacteria; Pseudomonadati; Pseudomonadota; Betaproteobacteria; Burkholderiales; Comamonadaceae
Description: bacterial SSU rRNA
Rfam family: Bacterial small subunit ribosomal RNA
Source: RNAcentral
CUGCUCAGAUUGAACGCUGGCGGCAUGCCUUACACAUGCAAGUCGAACGGCAGCACGGGAGCAAUCCUGGUGGCGAGUGGCGAACGGGUGAGUAAUAUAUCGGAACGUGCCCAGUCGUGGGGGAUAACGCAGUGAAAGCUGUGCUAAUACCGCAUACGAUCUCUGGAUGAAAGCGGGGGACUCGGCAACGAGCCUCGCGCGAUUGGAGCGGCCGAUAUCAGAUUAGCUAGUUGGUGGGGUAAAAGCCCACCAAGGCGACGAUCUGUAGCUGGUCUGAGAGGACGACCAGCCACACUGGAACUGAGACACGGUCCAGACUCCUACGGGAGGCAGCAGUGGGGAAUUUUGGACAAUGGGCGCAAGCCUGAUCCAGCAAUGCCGCGUGCAGGAUGAAGGCCUUCGGGUUGUAAACUGCUUUUGUACGGAACGAAAAAGUCUGCCCUAAUACGGUGGGCCCAUGACGGUACCGUAAGAAUAAGCACCGGCUAACUACGUGCCAGCAGCCGCGGUAAUACGUAGGGUGCGAGCGUUAAUCGGAAUUACUGGGCGUAAAGCGUGCGCAGGCGGUUAUAUAAGUCAGAUGUGAAAUCCCCGGGCUCAACCUGGGACCUGCAUUUGAGACUGUAUAGCUAGAGUACGGUAGAGGGGGAUGGAAUUCCGCGUGUAGCAGUGAAAUGCGUAGAUAUGCGGAGGAACACCGAUGGCGAAGGCAAUCCCCUGGACCUGUACUGACGCUCAUGCACGAAAGCGUGGGGAGCAAACAGGAUUAGAUACCC